GAUGAACGCUGGCGGCGUGCCUAAUGCAUGCAAGUCGAGCGAACAGACGAGGAGCUUGCUCCUCUGACGUUAGCGGCGGACGGGUGAGUAACACGUGGAUAACCUACCUAUAAGACUGGGAUAACUUCGGGAAACCGGAGCUAAUACCGGAUAAUAUAUUGAACCGCAUGGUUCAAUAGUGAAAGACGGUUUUGCUGUCACUUAUAGAUGGAUCCGCGCCGCAUUAGCUAGUUGGUAAGGUAACGGCUUACCAAGGCAACGAUGCGUAGCCGACCUGAGAGGGUGAUCGGCCACACUGGAACGGAGACACGGUCCAGACUCCUACGGGAGGCAGCAGUAGGGAAUCUUCCGCAAUGGGCGAAAGCCUGACGGAGCAACGCCGCGUGAGUGAUGAAGGUCUUCGGAUCGUAAAACUCUGUUAUUAGGGAAGAACAAAUGUGUAAGUAACUAUGCACGUCUUGACGGUACCUAAUCAGAAAGCCACGGCUAACUACGUG
RNAcentral lists this ribosomal RNA (497 nucleotides) under uncultured bacterium. RNAcentral describes it as "partial 16S ribosomal RNA". It matches the Rfam family "Bacterial small subunit ribosomal RNA", at positions 28 to 507 of the family's 1533-position model. The record is from RNAcentral.